Molecule: non-coding RNA, 2751 nt
Organism: Marmota flaviventris (yellow-bellied marmot)
Lineage: Eukaryota; Metazoa; Chordata; Mammalia; Rodentia; Sciuridae
Source: RefSeq, a predicted model, not a curated record
AUGGUUCUUAGGGAGAGAUCCUAGGCACCUACUACUGUUGCCAUCAGUUUUCUUUGGAUUUCUGAUUACUUGCAGCUUCCAUCAGGAAGAGCCUCAGCAGAAGACAGGGAAUGUGUAAAUCGGGUGUCUUUAAGAUUCAUUUCAUGUUAUGAAACUCAAGUUUAUGAGCAGUUCCAAGGAGUUGCCAUUGGCAUUUUGCACAGAAUAUUGUGUCAUGGGCACUUCCUGAAGGAACCUCAGGGUAACAUGACUCCAAAUAACUUGAUAGAAAGAGCAGAGGACGCCAAGUUUCCCUCUUUUAAACUUGCAGCCCUUGCCUCUAAGUUCCACCUGGCUCAUGUGGCUUCACUUUCCCUUGACCUCAUGGUGAGAAGCUCUGUGCCCACUCUUCAGGUUUCAUCUGGCAUCGGGAGCAUGCAGCAGCAAGGGCACAACGUCAAAUGGAACCAGACCUGAGGUUACAAAUUAGAAGAACCUGGAUGGCCAUGUCUGUGCACACUGGUUUUGGAAUUAUGCAGAACUGGGUCUGACCCUAUAUCUGUUAUAUUAUUCACUUAUUUUCCAACUUGUUAUUGAGCAUCUACUAUGUGCCAAGCACUUCUCUAGGCUCUGAAUAGAUAAUGCUGGUGGAGUGUACAUUUUAAUGGCAAUAUUACAGAUCAUCAAUUACAGGAAACAGAUUCUGAGGCAGAUACAUACAUAUAGGAAGUUGAUUGAAAAGGGCUCUUGGAUUUAACUGUUGUUGGGGGAAGGAGGGAAUAAAAGACUGAACUUGCAAUACAACAUCAAUAAAGGCUGCAGCUUAUCCCAUGGGGAGCUCUGAAGCUGGUCCCCCAUAGGGAUGUGUGAGACCCCACAGGUGCACAAGCCAGUCAUUGACUGCAAGCUUUCUUAGAGUGGGUGUGAUUUCACCAGCCAAAGAGUCAUGAACUCCAAGCAGGUGAUGAAAUAAUAAGAAUGUCACUUACUAGCCAAGUGACCCUUCCAUUCCCUGUUCCAAGAGAAGGGGAAGAAAAAUAUGCCCAAUGAAACAACUGUGAUUGAGAGCUUACUUGAUGAUACCUUCUUUUAGAUCCAUUUUCAAUUAAUCCUUACAAGACUAUAAGGUCAGGAAGGAUAUUUCUACCUGGUCCUCAGUGAGAACUCUCUGCCCCUCAAAUCCCAUUUUUCCAAAUCCACAUUGGUGUCUUUGCUGCAAGAGGAGAAUCAAAUGCAAUUUCUAGGGCACCGAUUGAUAACUCUUAACCUCCAGUCUUGGGGCAAAUCUUCAAACACUUACUUACCAUCAUGAAAAGAAUAUGGGGAGCUUACCGGAAUCUUUGAUAGUUGAGAUUCUUGUGCAUCUUAUAAUUAUCUAUCACAUCACACUAAUUACAGAGCAAACAAAACAGCCACCUUAGAAGACUGGGAACAUGCAAGCAGCUCUCUUUAAUGUUUUUAAAUCUCUUUGAAAAUAUGAGUAAACUGAGGUUUAGAGGGAUUAAGUGAUUCACCCAAGCUUAUGCAACUCCACAGUGACGGAAAAAGGUUCUGAAAGCAGAUCUAAAAGAGGCUCAAGAGCUCCUAAAUCAUGUGGUUUUAUUACAUUCACCACCUCCUGUGGCCACCAGAAGCAGAAGGAGCCUAAAUAGAGGCUUCCUCAUCCAGCCUGCAAAGAGGAGUCAGGGACGGAUUAGAGGAGGAAUUGACCCCUCCUGGCCAUGUGCUUAAUAAAUAAGGAAACCGAGAUAGAACUUGCUCCAUGUGUAUAAAAGAGAUUUCAAAUGCAUAUUUUUAUUGUGAGAUUUUUGAAGACUUUUUAAUCACUUUCACACUUACCACAUGAUUUUUUUUUCUGUUCCCUGGUUAAAAAUCCCUAGAAUAUAUUUGAGGAGCUCUGGGAGUGCUUCGUGGGCAGAGGAUGGAUGAACCUGGGGGGCAGUCUUAAGCUGCAGUGGCAAGUGGCUGUAUUCAACCCUGGAUCUGGGAGGGUGAAAGGUAACUGUUCUCACCGCCCCUCAUUUUCUGUAACAAGGGCAUUGACAAAGCCUGGUGUCCUAGUCUCACAGGGCUCUUGUGAGGAAGAAGUGAGAAAAAAGAUGAAAAUAAUGUUCCAGAGAAAAAGUCUAAGUCACCACCGACCCCCAAGAUGACGGAUUUCUUCACCUCUGUGAUUCAUCAGAGGCAUCUGGCCAUUUCUGAGAAGAAUAUAACCAUGUUCCCUUUCUGGUGAAUUUGGAAAUAGUUGCCUCCAAGAAGAAUCACUAGGAAUUACUUUUUUUAUUGGAUGAAAAAUAAAUCUAACCUAAGUUUCUUAGAAGCCCCCAAAGAUCCUUGAAUAUAAGCAUUACCUAAUUAGCCAUAUUUAGGAAAGAAAAUUCACAUUGUUAGUUCAGUCUAAAUAAAUUUUAUUGGGUUUUCUCAUUGUAAAGGUAACAAGGGCUUCUGAGAGUGAAUCAAGAGAUCUAGAGAAGGAGGAAGGAAAAAAUUUCACAUAAUCCCACCUUUGAGAAAUAACAACUAAUAAUAUCAUACUGUGUUUCUUUCUGGUUUCUUAUUUCAAGAAGUGGUUUUUCACUUACAAAAGCACACUUUAUAUCUUGCUUUUUACACUUCUCUGCUUUAUUAUAAACUCUCAAUAAUAUCAUCUCAUUAACUGUAGCACUCAUCUUUGUAAGAUUGUUGUGAAGAUGAAAUGAGAGAGGGGAUCCAUCCUUAAUGAUUCUUAAUGAGGGCUCAAUAAAUGUUGGCGGCUGCUAUCAUCAACAACAA